GUAGAGUGUGGGCAAGCGGACGCGGUAGUGAAGGGGUGUGAAGGGGUGUUCGGAUGCAUUGGGCGGAAAGGGUGCGUAGGGUGCGCGGUAAGUCGGUGGUGAAAUCGCGGGGCUUAACUCCGAAACUGCAUUCGAUACUGCCGUGCUUGAGGACUGGAGAGGAGACUGGAAUUUACGGUGUAGCGGUGAAAUGCGUAGAUAUCGUAAGGAAGACCAGUGGCGAAGGCGGGUCUCUGGACAGUUCCUGACGCUGAGGCACGAAGGUCAGGGGAGCAAACGGGAUUAGAGACCCUGGUAGUC
RNAcentral lists this ribosomal RNA (300 nucleotides) under uncultured Haloplanus sp. RNAcentral describes it as "bacterial SSU rRNA". The stretch from base 52 to 300 matches the Rfam family "Bacterial small subunit ribosomal RNA", at positions 547 to 795 of the family's 1533-position model. Lineage: Archaea; Methanobacteriati; Methanobacteriota; Halobacteria; Halobacteriales; Haloferacaceae. The record is from RNAcentral.